AGUAUUAUAAUUAUUAGUAUUUAUAGUAGUUAUAAGUAGUUAUAUAAUAAUAUAAUAGGUGUUAGGUGUAAGUGCAACAAUGCAUGUAGCUUAAGCAUACUAAGAAAAAAAAAGACCAAUAGAAUUAAAC
Molecule: ribosomal RNA, 130 nt
Filed under: Gastrodia angusta
Lineage: Eukaryota; Viridiplantae; Streptophyta; Magnoliopsida; Asparagales; Orchidaceae
Description: 4.5S ribosomal RNA
Source: RNAcentral